ACACAACUCUAAAACUACCUAUAACCGCGCUAAAGAAAAUACUCAAAUCAUAAAGUAUCAUACAAAACCAUUUCAGAUAACAAACCGCAAGGGUUAAAAAAUUAGUUAAAAAAAGAAAGAAUAACUCCCCCUCCCUUUUGUAUCAUGGAGAAGCAACAUUCAUAUUAAUGACAAUUAAACUCCCGAAAAAAUAUGAGCUACUAACUCUUAAAAUUAAUGUAUCACAAUUAAUAAACUAGCCGUUAGUAGAAGUAACAAGCCUUCCACAUUUUUUGAUAGCUGGUUUUCCCUAAAAAGCAUCAAAGUGCUAGCUUAUGGCAUCACCCAUUCCUACAUAGCCACAAACUAAAAAUUACUGAGGAUAAGCUCGGUAACACCACAAAAAUAAACAAACCCGCAUAAUUACAAGUAGGCUUAAAAACAGCCAACUACAACGCGUUCUAGCGCAUAAAAAUCAAUAAGACAUAUAUAACCGCUCAUUUUAACACAUAAGGGAAUCUAAAGCAUAACAAUCUUAUAACCUUACCAAACAGGCAUUCUAUUAGUAUAACUUUCCAAGUUCAACACAUAAUAUAAAAAUCCAAGUGGACCUAUAAUCAAUAAUAAAGUAAAAUAUACGUAACGAACUCGGCAAUACUGUUUUUCGCCUGUUUACCAAAAACAUCGUUUCUCGUAACUCCAACAUGGGGAAUAAUGCCUGCCCAGUGAACACUAAAUUUUAACGGCCGCGUUAGCGUGAGCGUGCUAAGGUAGCGUAAUAAAUAGCCUCUUAAUUGGAGGCCAGUGAACGGCAACACGGAAAACCUCUGUAUCACGUAUAUUAAUAAAAUUUUAUUUUUGGGUGAAAAAGCCCGAAUAACCGAGGAAGACAAAAAGACCCCGCGGAGCUUUACUUUAUUUGGCUAAACAAAUCUACCAGAUCAGCUAUGCUAAUAAGUUUGGUUGGGGCAACCCUGGAACCGCUAAAACUUCCAGUAUCAGUUAAAACAUCAUCAAAAACAUCUUUGGACUAAAAAGAAGUUACCCCGGGGAUAACAGCGUAAUCCAAUUCAAGAGUACGCAUCGAAAAUUGGGUUUGCGACCUCGAUGUUGGCUUAAGGUAAUUCACAUAAGCGCAGCCGCUAUGAGAGAAUAGUCUGUUCGACUAUUAUACCCUUACAUGAGCUGAGUUAAGACCGGCGCAAGCUAGGUUGGUUUCUAUCUCCUCCAUUACCACCACACUCUCAAUUGUACGAAAGGACCAUGAGAUAUGCAAAUUUUAGCAAUCACUAGUAAACAUCGCUAAUACUCCACAACUAAUUCGACUCCAAGAACGUCAA
Molecule: ribosomal RNA, 1319 nt
Filed under: Pseudunio marocanus
Lineage: Eukaryota; Metazoa; Mollusca; Bivalvia; Unionida; Margaritiferidae
Description: 16S ribosomal RNA
Rfam family: Archaeal large subunit ribosomal RNA (bases 862-1207)
Source: RNAcentral